GCUCUGCUUUCCAUGAAUGACAAGCUUUCGGCUUUUCUUAUGUGUCUUGAAGAUAAACACUUCGAUUGCCAAGAAGUAUCGACUUUAUUGGCUCCAGUAGAAGCUCACGAACAACUUUCCGACUUAUCCGCCGCGUAUCUCUGCUGUGUUUCCUGGUGGACACCGUUGCGCACUGCUCUUUAUAUUAUCAUGCAUUGUCGGUAGCAAAUGUGGACCGAUAGAAAAUGCUGUAAACGCAUAGGAAAAUUGUUAAUCAUAAAGCGCUUUACGAGGAGAGCACCUCCACGUCUACUUAGCAGUACUGAAAACUUGCUUGACUUUUUGCUUAUAAAGCGAGACGCUGUUUUUCUGUCGUAUUUAAGCUCUAUAUUAAUUGUAAUAAUAUUAACUAAUCGAGAAAAAAAUAUUUUUUUCUACUACUGAGUGCGGCGGAUUUUAAGCUAUAUUCACACUUUGUUUUGUGGAGAAUAUUCGAGCUCAGCUUCCUUGACACCUUUUAUUUUUAAAGGAUAGAAGAACGGACCAUAAUAAGCU
Molecule: long non-coding RNA, 534 nt
Organism: Zophobas morio
Lineage: Eukaryota; Metazoa; Arthropoda; Insecta; Coleoptera; Tenebrionidae
Exons: 6
Source: RefSeq, a predicted model, not a curated record